RNAcentral lists this long non-coding RNA (1640 nucleotides) under Sus scrofa (pig). RNAcentral's name for it is "lncRNA (ENSSSCG00015005156.1)". The record is from RNAcentral. Lineage: Eukaryota; Metazoa; Chordata; Mammalia; Artiodactyla; Suidae.
ACAGCGAGACGGGCGGUGGGGCGGAGCCGAGGCCCAGGAACGGAGGUGGAGGAGCAGACCCGGGCGACGCGGCCCGCGAGCGAGAGGGUCGUCCGGGUCAGUCCAGCGCAACUCGGGUCACCAGUCCCAGGGCCCUGGUCCCCUUAUUGGAUCUAUGUCUGGGUUUGCUGAAGCACCCGCUGGGCCCAGGACUGCAGAGACGCCCCUACCCAGGCUGUGCCCCGGGUGGAGGGGGACAGGGGGAACGGCUUCAUCGCGGGGUUCGGGGCAGGACAGCUCAGGACCUGCGGAGAUACUGGAUGGUGUAGGAUCCCAGGCCAAAGGUGGCGCACCCUGAGAUCAGCAGCCCAGCUCCCUGCAGCCUUGAGGAGGGCGCUGCCUGCGUCUUUGGGAGCCUCAGCUUCCCCUCCGGUUCCGGGCCUUGGAGUGCUGGUCUGCAGCUGCGGCCUGGCUCUGUGCCCGGCCUGACCCUCGUUCACACUGCACACCCCUGGAGGCAGGACAGAAAGUGUGCACAGCGAAGACCCUGACACCCUACUGGUUGAUGAUCCAAAUCCCGAGGUCCCUCUCAGAGUCCGGUGAGAUCCAGAGCCAGCUAGAGGAAGAAAGUGGCCGCGUCAGCUCCUGAAAGGCCGUCUGGGUGAGGUUGAAAGGAAAAGCCAACAGGAGUUCCCAUCGUGGGGCUUCGGAAACAAUCUGACCAGGAACCAUGAGGUUGCGGUUUCCAUCCCUGGCCUGGCUCAGUGGAUUAAGGAUCCGGUGUCUCUGUGGCUAUGGUGUAGGCCGGCAGCCGUAGCUCCCAUUCGACCAGUAGGCUCUCGGGUCCACCUCCUCUCCCCGUGGUCCUGUGCUGCCUCUUCCUACCCUGCUCCUCAGCAGCUCAGUGCAACUCUCCUGUCCCCCGCAUCCUCCCUGGUCGCACGCAGAGAGCAUCUGUGCAAAGACAACAGACGCGGCCACCCAGACCCUUUAGCUCACAGAGGAUGCCCUGAACGGACUCCCAGGGAGCCUACAGAAGACCACGGACUUGAGAAGGCACUGUGAACUGCUUGGUAGCAUCUGCAAGAUGGGGUUUGGUUUCAGGUCUGUGUCCUGCCCGCCACCCUCAGGCCCCGGUGGGCUCAGGAGGGCCUUGGGCACAGCCCGAGGGGCCUCGACCCUCAUACAGUGCAGAGCAAAGUCAGAGAUGGGUGGAGGCAGCUGCUGCUCCGGGUGGGAGCUGAUGACAUCCCGCCUGUCGUGUAGACAUUUGAGUUAACUGGCCCUGGGGUUGCCAAUAAUCUCAGUCAGGUCGAAGCCUCCACUCGGAGACGUUUGGGGCAGAAACCUGCUGAUUUACCCCUUGUUUUAACUCUUGGGGAACAAGGGGAUUGCUGACCGCUCCCACUGGCAGGGAGCAGGGAGUGGAAAGAGAACAGCCCUCGAGGGAGAGGCCAAGGAGCCCGUCUGCUCUGGCUCUGCACCGUCCAGCACAGUGGCCUCAGCCUGUCCCAACUGCGAUGUGCGAAUGUGCACAAGAAACACCUGAUUUCAAAGACGUUGAAAAAAAUGCCAAAUAUCUUUCUAAUAAUUUUAUAUUGAUUGCCUCUGGAAAUUAUGUUUUAGAUGUGUUAAGGUAAAUAAAAUAUAUUAUUAAAUUU